AUCGCUGCGUUUCAACUGGAAUAUCAUCAUCGAAGAUGUCACUGCAGAUUCGUCAAUCAUAGGAAUAAACAAUGAAAUAUAUUAAUUGGAUGUAAGAAUACCUGGCACAUCUUGCACAAAUUGUGACGGAAACUUCUUUAUUUCCCAUCCGUUUUAACUAAGAAGAAAAUCGACCCCUGGAGGAAUGAUAGAAGAAUGUUAGUUUUGAAGACAACAAUGAUAUUAUAA
Molecule: long non-coding RNA, 228 nt
Organism: Dendronephthya gigantea
Lineage: Eukaryota; Metazoa; Cnidaria; Anthozoa; Malacalcyonacea; Nephtheidae
Exons: 3
Source: RefSeq, a predicted model, not a curated record